This is an RNA transcript of Apis mellifera (honey bee), 6188 nucleotides long. RefSeq lists it as uncharacterized. The transcript is spliced from 9 exons. Lineage: Eukaryota; Metazoa; Arthropoda; Insecta; Hymenoptera; Apidae. The record is from RefSeq and is a predicted model, not a curated record.
AAUUUGAAUAUCCAAGUUUAAAACACUUUGCAUGCAGACAUCACAUUUAGCAAUCAGCCAUCAUUCCUCUUCCUUUCCUUUUUAGGAUACUGCAAUUUCAUUCUGUCAUCAUCUUAUUGGAUAAAUUCUUUUUUCUACACAAUCAAGAAAUCCUUUGUCAUUAUCUUUUUCCUUCGAUGACAGAUCCCGACAAAAUACAAGUCUUGAAUACUUCUCGAAAUAAAUGAUAACAAAUCACUAUGCACAUCAUUGUGUAACAUAACCAACCAAUCAACACUACACCAAUAAUACAAUCAACACUAGGAUUUUUUAAAUCACAUAUAUAACUUCAGAAUUUUCUAUAUCUAUGAUAUUCAUUUUAUAUAAAUUAUAGUAAUUAUAUUUAAUUCCACUUUGUAACUUCUACUUUCACAAACUUCUCGAAAUCCUUUAGAAGAGAAUAGUAAGCAAGAUGGCGAACGUUUAUCCAUGAAAAUCGUCACGUAUCGAUUGCGUAGUUCGAUUCGAUCUCAAUGAUGAAAUUUUCGCGCAUACCUUCGCACGGUAGAUAAUUAUUAUCGUAGCGGAUCAAGCACAGAGUAUCGAUCGGUAUUAAUUAACCGGCGCGCACUUUCACUCGGUGACCUUUAUAAUCGACCGAGCGCAAUAGACGACCGGCACAAUUUAUCAUUGUCGCCCGGAGAAAACUUAAUUGGCGCCGGUGCAACGUAUAUCCCUAAUUGAUUUCGAGCCAUCACGCUCCUCUAAGACCUCUAUAGUUGCGUAACCAGCUCAAUCGCGAUCCUUCGUGAUUUCCGCAGGUGUUGCGGUCAACGUCUGUUUCGCGGCAACGGAUAACGAGGAACGUACACGUCCAAAUAGAUACCGAUAGAAGGUAUCAGAAAGUAUUUGCAUCACUUUGCACUUCUCCUUUUGGCGCUCGUGUACCGAUUAGCUCGUGUAACGUUUAAAAGUACAUCCUGAUCUCGAUAUAAAAAGUUGAUUUCUUCGAUGUAAAAAGGAAAUGAUAUGCAUGAACUUAAGUGUGUGUUGUUCUUUCGUGUGAGGAGAUUAAAUGGUGAUAAGGAUGGCGCGAGCAGUCAAAGGUCUCUGCACGAUUUGCAUUGCCACGCAAUUGCGAGGGACUCCGCGUAUAUUUGCAAAUAUAAUUGCACCGGUUCGAUACGCGAGCUUUUUCACCCAUAUGCGACCUCGAUCGCAUACAGGAUUAUUACAGUGAUUCCUCGAUCGAGGUAAUUAAUUCCGUUCUGUUCUUCGACGAUAUCUUGUAAAACGGUUCUUGGUGGUCGAUACUUUCGUGAAGAGAAUAAUUCGAUUCCUCGAAGAUCGAUUUUGAAUUACAAUUAUGAGAAGAUUACUGAUGCCAAUUUCUGCAAACAACGCAAGUUCACGAAUCAAGAAACUCUUUAUCUUAUUCACAGUUGAAGAAUUAACCUUGAUCUAUUCUACAUAGAUACAUAUAGUAGGAUCGAAGUUGGAGAAAUUAGCAAGACUGUUUCUCAUCGAUCACGAUAUUCAAUUAUCUACACCAUGUACAUGUUUGCCAUUAUCUCGAACAUGGUUGAAACACGAGUUACACGUUGGUGUACAAAUUCGAAACGGCAGUCCGGCAUUGAGGUAGUCGGACCACCCUGUACAUAAAUAGAAGGAGGCACUACGACGUGCGCGUACGAGCGGUUCCGUCCGAGUUUCUACGUUCUCCAGAGCGGCGAAGGUCACAGUUAAUCGACCGCGAGAUACAUAGUCACUCUGGUUACAGCGAGAAAAGUAACGACUAGUAUAAUUGCGGCCCUUCGUUUCCGUUUCGCCAACGUACCGGCAACGCACAAUUUCCACCGGCCAAACGAUCGAGAACUAUCGUUUUCUGUCGAACGCAGAUGGAGAGGAAAAAGAAUAAAAGAAAAAGAGGGAUGGAAAAGAAGCCCUCUCUCCAGAGAGUUUUAUGUUCCAAAUACAGUACAGAUUUUUUAUUUUUGUGGAAAUUUGUGAAUUAGGAAAUUUUUGAAUGAAGAAAAAGAAAAAAGGAAAGAAGAAUAUCUUUCUUAAAAUUUCAAAAGAGAUUUCUUCGAUCUAAAAAAGGAAUCGAAAGUGGAAACUUGGGAAUUGAAAGGAUUUGGUUUCGAAGAUAGAGAGCAGAGGAAGUUGUUUAUUGAAGAGGCGAAUGAGGAGGAGGAGACGAGGGAAACGGCACCGUUAUCGAUACUCAUUUCUUCAUGGAAAAAUGUUCGUCCGUUUUAAUACUCAACCGAUAAACCCUACUUAGGGGAAAUUAGUUUUUAAUUCUUAAUACAAGGGACAUUUUUAAAUAAGGAAUCAAGUAGUUAUAUCCGAGAAGUUUCGAUUUUAAGUAUCUCGAGGUUAGAUGGGAUAAUGGAAGAUUUAAUCAUUUCAAUGUGAGAUCUGUAAUCACUCGUACGUGACUUUUGAUCUAAUUCUUGAAAAUGAUCCCUGGAAUUUUCAUUUUCUGUGUGGUGUAACAAAUUAAUUGGAAUCUUUUGAGAACAAGGUUAGAUGGGAUAAUGAAAGAUUUAAUCAUUCCAAUGUGAGAUCUGCGAUCACUCGUACGUGACUUUUGAUCUAAUUCUUGAAAAUGAUCCCUGGAAUUUUCAUUUUCUGUGUGGUGUAACAAAUUAAUUGGAAUCUUUUGAGAAGAAGGUUAGAUGGGAGAUUUUAUAGGUUAAUGGAAAAUUUAAUAAUUCCAAUGUGAGAUCUGCGAUCGUACGUGACUUUUGCUCUAAUUUUUGGAUUCUUGUAACAAAUUAAUUGGAAUCUUUUGAGAACAAGGAGAUAGAUCAAUUGGUCUAUUUAAUUGACAUCAGAUAUUCGUUACAAUUUUCGAAAUGAUUAUGAUCCUUUUUUUUUAUAAUACAAUAGAUUAACUGAAAUAUUGAUCUUUUAUAGGUUAGAUGGGAUAAUGAAAGAUUUAAUCAUUCCAAUGUGAGAUCUGUGAUCACUCGUACGUGACUUUUGCUCUAAUUUUUGGAUUCUUGUAACAAAUUAACUGGAAUCUUUUGAGAAGAAGGAAAUAGAUCAAUCGGUUUGUUUAAUUGACAUCAGAUAUUCGUCACAAAAGGUUUUCUCAGACGUUAUUUUGAACCUGAAAAGGAAAAGGAAUAGAAUUGAUGGAUUUUUAUGAUCACGCAAAUAGUUUACGAGGCUCUCGUGCCCCGGUAUCGAGGCACGUUCGAGCGAAUCGCGUUGCCGCAAUGCACCUAGCUCGGAUUCGCUCUCACGCGGCGCGCUUACUCGCCUGGAAAAUUAUCCAGUAACCCAGUGACACUGUGAGAAGUGGCGGAACCUUUCGUCAAUCGCUUCAUGUCGAUACGUGACGCCCCCGUUGCUUUCUCAAGUUUCUCGAGAUUAUAGAUUUCAGAGGUUCUUCUUUGUCGAAAAUCCAUUGCAACAAUGCAACUACAACUCUAUAGAACAGUCAACGAUGGAAAAGAAUAUCAAGAAAGAGAUUCUUUAUGGACAUAUGAUAAAGUUGAUAUUGAAAAAAAAUGAGACUUUUCUUUGAGGAAAGAAUUCUUUAUCGAAAAUCCAUUGCAAUGAUGCAACUACAAUUUUAUAGAACAGUCUCUAUAGAACAAUGGAAAAGAAAGAAAUUCUUUAUGGCCAUAUGAUAAAGUUGAAUGACAUUGAAAAAAAAUGAGAUUUUUCUUUGAGGAAAGAAUUCUUUAUUGAAAAUUCAUUGCAAUGAUGCAACUACAACUCUAUAGAAUAGUCUCUAUAGAACAAUGGAAAAGAAUGUCAAGAAAGAGAUUCUUUAUGGACAUAUGAUAAAGUUGAAAAAAAAUGAGACUUUUCUUUGAGGAAAGAAUUCUUUAUUGAAAAUUCAUUGCAACGAUGCAACUACAACUGUAUAGAACAGUCAACGAUGGAAAAGAAUGUCAAGAAAGAGAUUUUUUAUGGCCAUAUGAUAAAGUUGACAUUAAAAAAAAAUGAGACUUUUCUUUGAGGGAAAGAAUUUGCUCUCUUGCAGAUGGAAUGAUAGAAAGAGUUAGAGAAAAUGUAAAGGUGAGAAAUAUAGAUCUUUAUAAAUUUAAAUAUGAUGUUUCUAAACAGAUGAAGAGAAAAAUUCUUUGUUCAUGAUAAUUGUUGAUAUUCAAAAAAAAAAGUGAAUUUAUUUACUAAUCUCCAAGUAUAGAGAGGAGAACAAUAUUCAAAAAGACUUAGCAUAGAUAAUUAACAGGCAUUAAUAGGCAAUUGAAGCAAAAGGAUAGAAUAUACACCCUUUCCUGGAUAGAUUUGAAGAAAUUUGUGGAAAGGCGAGAAAGAAGGAAGAAGAUGGACAUUCUACGCGUGUCACGCCAGCAGAUUAAGUUAAUACCCUUGAGAUCGUAUCAUUGGCAAACGAGUGUUGAGCGCGGAUGGGAACAACCUGACGAAGGUCUCGCGGCACGGUGUCACUGGGUUACUGGAAAAUUUUGCAGACCGCGACACAGGCAGAGGCCGUGGCUGCCCGCCGACAUUCCAUUCACGAUCGAACCUUUAACCGCCGUUAAUUGAGUCGCAACCGUGUCGAACACGUGUUUCCCUUAUUUUAAAUUCAAUCACCUCGAUCAAGACUCGCGCGAUCUUUGCAUCCAAUCAUGUUGUCGAAGGAUAAAAAGAAAGAAGAGGGAAAUCUUGUAGGACGAGAGGUGAAAAAAGAAUGAAGAAACGAGUCGCGAAACACUUCCUGAAUUACUAAUUACAGCGACUCGUUUCCAUGACAUUUCCAUGAGAAUGAAAAGAUCGAUUCGGUUGCCUCGGCGAAAAGUGUUUUGACCGAGAAAAAGAAUGCAAAUGAAGCGACAUUAGUCAAGGGUAAGGCCGAACACUCUUUGUGGUGACGCGUAAAAAUUGCGAGCGAAGUGAUACGAGUCAAGGAUAAGGUCGACUUCUUUGUGGAAAUAUGUAAAAAUCGCAAAUAAAGUGAUGCGAGUAAAGGAUAAGGUUGACUUCUUUGAAAAGACAUAUGUCAAAAUUUCGAUCCAUCGACUGAAUAUAUUCCCAUUAUUCUACAUCUAUCGUUUUCACCGAAAACAAGAAAGAAACGGAGCGUGAAAUCAGAGCGUGAAAGACGAAAGCACGAGAGUUGCAUCGAGAGUUCUGUCUGGAGUCGCGUGUUCCCUGGGAUCACGUGAAUCGUGGUUCCAGAGGUGAAAGGGGACGAGGGGGAGAAGAAAGAAGAGAAAGGAGAGAGGAGGCACGUCGAUAUAUUAGUUAUGCCCGAGGCGAGGUGAGGCGAAGAAGCGGAGGCGAACUCUCCACUGCCAAGGCGGCGCAAGGCGUGGUCUGUCCUUUUACUUUGCCUUCGCCUUCUGCUUUCUUCUGCCGUGUUUCUCUGGCCGUGCUAAACAGGGUGUUUCACCAGAAAUUUCUAUUUUUUUUUUUUUUAAAUUUCCUCUUCAUUCGUAUUUAUAUAUUGAAUCGUCUGUAAAAAUUCGUAAUACUUCGUAAAUAUUUUAUGAACAUUUUUAAAAAUUGUAAAAUGAACAUGUGCAGAUAUUUCGAUUGUUCCCGAAAAAUUGAAAUCACGAUUCGAACGAUCGAAAUUUCUCGAUAAAGCAUCAUGGUGUAAGAAUCUUCGAACUUGUAAAUAUCAAGAAUAAGAUGUGAAGAAGAUAGGAAUAUUGGCAGUCUCACGAAAAAUCGAAAGUUUAGAAAAUCGGUUCGAAGCGAAACACCCAGUAUAGAAGUAGGUUCGACUGGUUCACCUCCGCGGCUGGCAACAACUAACGAGCAGCUGUCGGUAAGGAUCCCGGCGACAAUAACCCGUGCAUUUUAUAUGUUCCUCGAUCGUGGCUGCAUGCAUCGAUCUCGAGCGUGGUUUUCCUCGCAGAUAACCGGCCACUAACUGCUUGUCAUUAACGUUAUCGAUACUCGCCAUAACGCGUCUUCACUUUAUUCCGAAAUAGAAAUGGAAAGUUUAUCGCUAUAGAGGCUAUAGAUAUUCCUCGUCUCAAAAUUUUAAUCGUUAUAUCAUCUCUUUAUCCAAAUAAAUUUUUAUCCAUCUGUAAAUCCGCAAGAAUAGGACUUUUAAUAUAAAUUAUAAAAAAUAAGAAAAUUCUUGAAAUUACUGAAACUAUAUAAUAAAUUAUUCUAGGAAUUUUUUAUUGUGAGAUUUAAUAUUAAUUAGUCUGAUCCUAAUAAUACAAACUUUAUAAGUAUUCAUUGAACAAAGAUAUUUGAAUUUAUUACUA